ACGUCCCUACAAUGGAAUACUUCUCAUCAAUAAGAUGGAUGAACUACUGAUACAAGCAGCGGCGUGGAUGAAUCUCAAAAGCAUUACGGUUACUGUUUGUUGGAGCAUUACCUAGGGGAAGAUGCUUGCCAAAGGGAGGAAGAAUGGCCGGGGAGCCUCCGGCUUCAUCAUUACUGCUGAGGUGUCACUCUCAUCCCCAUCUCAGGAAAAGCAAGGCCCCUUUGCAAGGGUGCCGUUGGGUGCGAAUGUCCAGUGCCAGUGGUUAUGAGCAGAUGGGACUAAUAAUAGUUCCUACUUCACAGAGUCAAUUUGAGGAUUAACAAGAAAAUCCACGUAAAAUAGCACAACGCUUGGCA
This is a long non-coding RNA of Eubalaena glacialis (North Atlantic right whale), 356 nucleotides long. RefSeq lists it as uncharacterized. The record is from RefSeq and is a predicted model, not a curated record. Lineage: Eukaryota; Metazoa; Chordata; Mammalia; Artiodactyla; Balaenidae. The transcript is spliced from 4 exons.